RNAcentral lists this ribosomal RNA (468 nucleotides) under uncultured bacterium. Its description in RNAcentral is "partial 16S ribosomal RNA". It matches the Rfam family "Bacterial small subunit ribosomal RNA", at positions 28 to 507 of the family's 1533-position model. The record is from RNAcentral.
GACGAACGCUGGCGGCGUGCUUAACACAUGCAAGUCGAACGGAAAGGCCCUGCUUUUGUUGGGUGCUCGAGUGGCGAACGGGUGAGUAACACGUGAGUAACCUGCCCUUGACUUUGGGAUAACUUCAGGAAACUGGGGCUAAUACCGGAUAGGAGCUCCUGCUGCAUGGUGGGGGUUGGAGAGUUUCGGCGGUUGGGGAUGGACUCGCGGCUUAUCAGCUUGUUGGUGGGGUAGUGGCUUACCAAGGCUUUGACGGGUAGCCGGCCUGAGAGGGUGACCGGCCACAUUGGGACUGAGAUACGGCCCAGACUCCUACGGGAGGCAGAAGUGGGGAAUAUUGCACAAUGGGCGGAAGCCUGAUGCAGCAACGCCGCGUGCGGGAUGACGGCCUUCGGGUUGUAAACCGCUUUCGCCUGUGACGAAGCGUGAGUGACGGUAAUGGGUAAAGAAGCACCGGCUAACUACGUG